UUGGAGGGCAAGUCUGGUGCCAGCAGCCGCGGUAAUUCCAGCUCCAAUAGCGUAUAUUAAAGUUGUUGCAGUUAAAAAGCUCGUAGUUGAAUUUCGGGAUUGACACAUCGGUCGUGCCUUAAGGGGUAUGAACUGGUGUAGUCAAUUUCUCACCUUCUGGAGAACCGCGAUGCCCUUAAUUGGGUGUCACGGGGAACCAGGACCUUUACUUUGAAAAAAUUAGAGUGUUUAAAGCAGGCAUUUUGCUUGAAUACAUUAGCAUGGAAUAAUAAAAUAGGACGGCAUGAUUCUAUUUUGUUGGUUUCUAGGAUCACCGUAAUGAUUAAUAGGGAUAGUUGGGGGCAUUAGUAUUCAAUUGUCAGAGGUGAAAUUCUUGGAUUUAUUGAAGACUAACUACUGCGAAAGCAUUUGCCAAGGAUGUUUUCAUUAAUCAAGAACGAAAGUUAGGGGAUCGAAGACGAUCAGAUACCGUCGUAGUCUUAACCAUAAACUAUGCCGACUAGGAAUCAGACGAUGUUAAUUUUUUAAUGACUCGUUCGGCGCCUUACGGGAAAC
Molecule: ribosomal RNA, 555 nt
Filed under: uncultured Glomus
Lineage: Eukaryota; Fungi; Glomeromycota; Glomeromycetes; Glomerales; Glomeraceae
Also listed under: 1 other name
Description: SSU rRNA
Rfam family: Eukaryotic small subunit ribosomal RNA
Source: RNAcentral